GGUGAGUAAUGCCUAGGAAUCUGCCUGGUAGUGGGGGACAACGUUUCGAAAGGAACGCUAAUACCGCAUACGUCCUACGGGAGAAAGCAGGGGACCUUCGGGCCUUGCGCUAUCAGAUGAGCCUAGGUCGGAUUAGCUAGUUGGUGAGGUAAUGGCUCACCAAGGCGACGAUCCGUAACUGGUCUGAGAGGAUGAUCAGUCACACUGGAACUGAGACACGGUCCAGACUCCUACGGGAGGCAGCAGUGGGGAAUAUUGGACAAUGGGCGAAAGCCUGAUCCAGCCAUGCCGCGUGUGUGAAGAAGGUCUUCGGAUUGUAAAGCACUUCAAGUU
RNAcentral lists this ribosomal RNA (333 nucleotides) under Pseudomonas japonica. Its description in RNAcentral is "bacterial SSU rRNA". It matches the Rfam family "Bacterial small subunit ribosomal RNA", at positions 105 to 441 of the family's 1533-position model. The record is from RNAcentral. Lineage: Bacteria; Pseudomonadati; Pseudomonadota; Gammaproteobacteria; Pseudomonadales; Pseudomonadaceae.